GACGAACGCUGGCGGCGUGCCUAAUACAUGCAAGUAGGACGAGUUGCGAACGGGUGAGUAACGCGUAGGUACUACCUAUUAGAGGGGGAUAACUAUUGGAAACGAUAGCUAAUACCGCAUACUAGUAGAUGAACUGGGUUGUAUUAGCUAGUAGGUUGGGUAAAGGCCUACCUAGGCGACGAUCCCUAGCUGGUCGGAUAGGAUGACCAGCCAAACGGGAACUGAGACACGGUCCAGACUCCUACGGGAGGCAUCAGUGGGGAAUAUUGCACAAUGGGCGAAAGCCGGAUGCAGCCAUGCCGCGUGUGUGAAGAAGGCCUUCGGGUUGUAAAGCACUUUCAGCGAGGAGGCGUUACUCGCAGAAGAAGCACCGGCUAACUCCGUGCCAGCAGCCGCGGUAAUAC
RNAcentral lists this ribosomal RNA (404 nucleotides) under uncultured bacterium. RNAcentral's name for it is "partial 16S ribosomal RNA". It matches the Rfam family "Bacterial small subunit ribosomal RNA", at positions 28 to 526 of the family's 1533-position model. The record is from RNAcentral.